Molecule: long non-coding RNA, 607 nt
Filed under: Pongo abelii (Sumatran orangutan)
Lineage: Eukaryota; Metazoa; Chordata; Mammalia; Primates; Hominidae
Description: lincRNA
Source: RNAcentral
GCAUUGUGCCUCCCCCUCGUGCCCUCCGAAGCUCAUGCAAGUUUGCAGGAAGAGACAUUCAGAGUGAAAUACGGCCUGAAAAGUCACUCCGAGUUGUAUUAUUUAUGAAAUGACACUCAACACAAGAAGAAACCCAAUACAGCACAUCAUUCUGCCUGCUCCGUGGCUUCUGCUUCUCAAGCGACUUAAAAUGAUUCGUCUCACUUUGUCUCCCAGGCUGGAGUGCAGUGGCGUGAUCUCGGCUCACUGCAACCCCCGCCUCCCUAGUUCAAGUAAUUCUCCUGCCUCAGCCCCCUGAGUAGCUGAGAUUACAGGAUCCUCUCUCUGGGAGUCCUCAUCUACCUCCAGCUGCAAUCAUCACCACAGAAGUGAGAGAGAGACUUUGACCUGAGCUGGACCCUCCAGCCCUCCCUCGCUGAACUACCAUCCAACCUUAUGUUCCUACUGAUGUUUGCUAUGUUAUUCAAUAAAUAUUGUAUGUUCUGUGGCAGUGGCCACCAGUCAUUUUCAAAUACCUGUUUUCCCUUCUUCCUUACCAAAAACACCCAUGGUUUUUAGCUGGACACCUGGUUGCCCAAAAUAAACAGUACAUUUGCAGUCUCCCUUA